Molecule: long non-coding RNA, 1791 nt
Organism: Photinus pyralis (common eastern firefly)
Lineage: Eukaryota; Metazoa; Arthropoda; Insecta; Coleoptera; Lampyridae
Exons: 4
Source: RefSeq, a predicted model, not a curated record
CUGUACAGCCUGAUCAAGUUCAAACGUCUAACGUCGAUAUAGAAUAGCGGAUCCAGACUAGGUUUGAUCCUUUUCAAAGCCGUAUCAGACUCCGACCACUGCUCACUCCACCGCUCAUAGAUUUUACUUUUCACGAGUCCACGCCGUGCAGUAGAUGACAUACUCGUGAAGUCAAUAUUCUCCAAUUGGAGGUGGUUUAAUACCUCUCUAGCCCUAACACCUAACGAUCUACAUCUGUAUAGACGAGCAAUGGUAGUCGCAUCAGUAAGGGAUCUAAAAUUUGGAUGUUUAUCAUCUAACCUUACUUUUAUAUAGUAGUUUGCAACAAUCUGUUUCCGGCGAAGAGCUAGAGGGGGAAUAUUUGCCUCGACGUAGAGCGAUGGAACUGGACUUGUUGGAUAUGCUCCCAAAGAAUAUCGAAUAGCCAGGUUCUGAAUCUUAUCAAGUUCCCCAAGCAAAGCAUUAUUGCCACACGUAGAGUACGCUGCACAUCCAUAAUCCAUCCUUGAUAGGAUGAGGGCCUUAUAUAUAUCCAGUAGGGUCUUAGGGUGAGCUCCCCACCUAUGAUGAGCGAGAACUCUGAUGAUGUUCAGCGAUUUUCUACAUGUAGCAGUAACAUUAUUUAAAUGCUUUGACCACCGUAAUUCCCUGUCAAAGGUAAGCCCGAGAAACUUGACUUCCUGAACAACACUGAUUACACGAUCAUUCAUUAGUAGCACAGGAUCAUAGUGCGGUCUACGGAGUCGGCAAAAGUGGACAGCCUUUGUCUUUUCCUCCGACAGCACAAACCCGACCGCAUUGGCGUUACUACAGAUUUUGUUUAUGGCCACUUGUAGACUUCGAGUUAUUGCACCGACCGUCUUACCAGAACAACAAACCAUUAAAUCAUCAACAUACAAACAUUUAUCAAUCAUCCCCUCAACACCUUUAGCUAUUUCGUUUAUGGCGAUGCCAAACAGGGAACAGCUAAGUGUUGACCCCUGCGGCACACCAUUUUCUAAAACAUACUCUUUUGAGUGGAUGUCACCGAUUCUUACAACAAACUUUCUGUUCUCUAGAAAGGAUUGUAUAAAUUUUGGUAACUUCCCUCGAAGAUUGUAUUUAUACAUAUUCUGCAAUAUUCCAUAUCACCAAGUCAUGUCGUAAGCGCCCUUUAUAUCAAAGAAAACCGCAAGCAGGUGUUCACCACUGUCAAAUGCACUCAGAAUUCUAUCGGUCAAUUUGACCAAAUGGUCAGCCGUUGCCCGUCCCUUCCGAAAACCCGUUUGAUAAGUUUUCCCAAGCAAGACGUUAAACUAAUUGGGCGAUAACUUUGUGCCAGCAACGGAUCUUUUCCAGGUUUCGGUAUAGGAAUGACAACGGCCUGUUUCCAUUCCGAGGGGAGUACAGUGAUGAAACAUCUGGUUGUGGAUUUCGUCUUCUCCCGGUGAACAUGACUUGGUGUUACGGAUAGCGAUAUUCAACUCUUCUAAGACGACCACCACGGAACCAUUUUUGUUUUAUUGCCAGGUUUGGAUUUUGGAAUACUGGCGUUCGCAGCGUCUAAUAUAGCAGAUGUAAGAGUUUUUAAACUUAAGCUAUCUAGGGCUGGAGGGACGAACUUACUUGCAAAAAGUUCCCAAUCUGCUUGUGGGAUCUUAAAUCUAGCCACUGAUCUUAUCGUGGGAUUUUUGCCUCUAACAGAAAUGAUUAUGGGAAAAUGAUCGCUGUGAUGGAGAUCAGUUUCCACCUCCCAUUCAAAAUUACAGUAUAUAUUUGGAGAACAUAUAGAAAGAUCAAUUGCGUCGAAUG